Long non-coding RNA from Pseudophryne corroboree (corroboree frog), 1292 nucleotides. RefSeq lists it as uncharacterized. NCBI's taxonomy places the organism in Eukaryota, Metazoa, Chordata, Amphibia, Anura, Myobatrachidae. The record is from RefSeq and is a predicted model, not a curated record. The transcript is spliced from 4 exons.
CUGUCCUGGGGUAAUGUCAGUUAUAUAAAUUGCUCAGUAGGCAGAGAGAAAGCACCUUGGGAUGCAGCACAUCUCAGAUGGAUCUUGGGGAAAAUAAGGGUGGCACAAUGAGGUGCUUGAACAGUCUGUGUCCGGGACUAGACAAGGGUUGUUCUGGGGCUCAUAGUCAAUUCCCUGUAGGGGAAAACAUUACCCACAUGUACCUGGACAAGAGUAGUCAGCGGUGGGCGGUAGGCACAAAACAGCUGCUCAUACCUUAUAGAGCGGGAGCUUGCUGGUCUGUCCCCGAGUGCAGGCAGGAACCAGGAGAUGCAGCCCCAGACACCAACCACAGGGGCCAAACGCAUCUCACAUGUCCCAGGACUGGAACAAACAGCAGCGUGCUGGAUGAGGAUAGCUACUGCAGAAAACAAAUACAGUGAGGAGACUGUCCGGCCAACUUCCAGCCCAGAUAACAAUGGGGAGAUGGAUCGGGAAACUUUGCUGCCAAUCACCUCAGGGACCAACCGCAUCCCACGUGUUGUGGGACAUAGACAAUCAGUGGCACGCACUGUGGAGUAAUGCAGUGGGGGGUGGGGUGGCAGCCCGUCCGUCUCGCAUCCCACACACGAAGAAGGAGGUGUGUGCAGGGGCUCAGCUCACUAUCUCCGUUGGGAAGACAUGCAGCUUAUGUGUCUCGGAGUGAUGGUAGCCAGCAGCGCACCCCAGAUGUAGAGCAGCAGACUCACUGCGUCCCGUUAGCACCAAAGCACACGGAGGGGUAUACCAACAUCCAGACCCGAUGGCACAUGGCACCACAGCAAGGAGGAGGGGAUAACCUGAAGAAAUAAAAGCUCUCAGCACGUCUCCAUGGUUACCGGCAAGCCUGAUGACAUCACUUCCUGGCCGGCUGUGAUGCCGAGACCGGAAGUGCGGGACAGGGAAAGCUAGGGAGCUCCGUGGUCCAUGCAGCUGAGAGUCGUUAAUCUGGGGAUUUCACAUAUGGGAACAACAUUACCGUUAAAUUGGUUAUUUACCCCAUAGAGCUCUUCCAAUAUCCAUUGAUAUGAGCCCCUGAUGAAGUCCUUUGGGACGAAACGCGUUGGCUUUGGUUCAAUUGGGAGAACAUCAGGCAUCUUUUAAGAAAUACCAUUGGAUGAAACAAUCACAUUUUACAAAACUGAAGUCUGUAUUUUAAUUGUAUUUGCCGUUGUACAUUAAUGCAACAUUUUUUACAUAUUGCAAUGUUCUGUUCAAUGGUAACAUAUGAAUAAAUUGAACGUUUUUUAUUAAAUUGUGUUUAAAAUUUGGAA